AGUUACACUGGUGAGAUAGAGUGAACGAGAGCUUCCCAAGCUCUAUACGAGGGUUCGAUUCCCUUCACCCGCUCCA
RNAcentral lists this transfer RNA (76 nucleotides) under Yersinia aldovae 670-83. RNAcentral describes it as "tRNA-Gly (CCC) (tRNA-Gly-CCC-2-1)". It matches the Rfam family "tRNA", at positions 9 to 71 of the family's 71-position model. From Rfam's summary of the family: Transfer RNA (tRNA) molecules are approximately 80 nucleotides in length. Their secondary structure includes four short double-helical elements and three loops (D, anti-codon, and T loops). Further hydrogen bonds mediate the characteristic L-shaped molecular structure. tRNAs have two regions of fundamental functional importance: the anti-codon, which is responsible for specific mRNA codon recognition, and the 3' end, to which the tRNAs corresponding amino acid is attached (by aminoacyl-tRNA synthetases). tRNAs cope with the degeneracy of the genetic code in two manners: having more than one tRNA (with a specific anti-codon) for a particular amino acid; and 'wobble' base-pairing, i.e. permitting non-standard base-pairing at the 3rd anti-codon position. The record is from RNAcentral. Lineage: Bacteria; Pseudomonadati; Pseudomonadota; Gammaproteobacteria; Enterobacterales; Yersiniaceae.